Phalacrocorax carbo (great cormorant) is the source of this 2298-nucleotide non-coding RNA. NCBI's taxonomy places the organism in Eukaryota, Metazoa, Chordata, Aves, Suliformes, Phalacrocoracidae. The record is from RefSeq and is a predicted model, not a curated record.
CAGGAACCAGUGUUGGAGGCCUGUAGUUCACAUCUUGUGGGUACCGUUUUCAAUAAAUUAAAAAAGAAAAUCAUCCCCCCAGUAGGUAUCUAAAAUAAUAGCUUUUAAAGACAGUAUUACAGUCAUAUAACUUGUUGGGGAAAGCACACCAUGGCUCACAGUCUGAAUUAAACAUGUGUCAUUGUGGCUGAGGAAGAAACCUUCCACCUUCCAGAAACCUGAUAUUUUGGACCAAAUCCCUCUCUGAACAGGUUGUAUGCUGCCCUUUUCAAAAUCAAGCUAUCAGAAGAUGCCCUUCAGCAGAAGUGUUAAGAGGACUUGGUGAGCUUAACAUGUUUCGCCUGCUUAAUUUAAUUUGGAAAAAUUCAACCAGAAAAUGAAGUUAUUAACAGGUUGGUACAUUCAGAGAUAAGAUGAUGUCACAGGAAAGCAGUCAAGUGGGUUGCUUGUCAAAAUAUAAAAUAUGUAUCUGUCAGAAUCAAAUGAUAGAUAAGCUGUGGCUGGGUGUAGGAUGCAGUGAAAAUAGUGUGCUAAAAAUUGAAGCUGAAUCCCACCAGUCUGGAGCACAAGCUUUUAGUGUAACUAUUGUGGCGAUCAGAAAUAUAACAAUUCUGGGGACACGAACUGCGCUGCUUGAACACGGUACACGUAAUUUCUUGGCACCGAUAGCCAGAGGCAUGUACAUCAGUGCUAGACCUCAAACAAACAGGAGACACCUUGAAAAUGCGGCUAUUUCAACCCAUGACUUUGAAACUGGGACAACCCAUUAGCUCGGGUAUGCCAAAUGAGGUUUAAUAAAUCUUUCCGUGGGUAACUCUGGGAUCUUUAAGGCCUUAAAAUGUGAAAAUAGAGUCUGCCUGGCCAACGUGAUGAGCUUUUCUGUACUAGGGAGGUUCAGAUCAAAGAGAGAAGUCUCCAGUGUAUUCUCCAGGAACACGUACGUGUCAUGUCAGUCACAGGCCUCUUCCUGCCUUCUGGCUUGCCAUAUAAAAGAGCUGGCACCAGGAGUUUAAAGUUAAUAAACUCGGGAAUUUUAAAUGGCAAUUUGGAGUCUCGUAUGAACAAAACAGAAUAGGCUACUUAGCAAGGAAUGCAGUCAAACUCCCAAACACUGUGAUGGCAAAAUGAAAGAAAUACCAUUAUAAUAAAUGUCGGUAUUGCGUUAUCAUCGAAUUUGGGAAAAUGAUCCCACUUAUGUGGAACUGCAUUCACUGCAAGUUGCAAAAUUGAGCUCUAAGACUGUAAACUCUUGGGGAAAGCUAUGAAAUAUCUCUGUCUGCUCAGGAUCUUCCAUGAUGCAGAGUCUAAUUGUGACUAGGAACUCUCAGGACUAACAGAAUACAAAUAAUAGUAGUCCUAAAUAAAAUGCUGCUCUUAUAUUUAAAGGUCAGAAGGGACUGCUCUGACCUCUUGAUCUAUAGGCCAUAGGGCUUUGUUCAGUAAAACCACCAUGAUAUUUCUAAUUUAUGCUUCAGCUUAAAUAGUUCCUAAAGCCUCAGCUCAAGAAAUGCUCCUCCUUAGGAAAGAAUGAGUUUUAAUAUGUUGUUCUGAUGCUAUUUUUUUCAGUAUUUAGAAUAUUUUUCAUUUAAAUUUCUUUAGCCUUAGCUUGUAACCUCUGGCUUUUGAUUCUUCUUCUUUAUGCUUGAAUAAGCGUAUAUCAAAACCCUUCUCUUUUGUAAACGAAACAAGUGGAGUUUAAAUCUGUAAGAUGGGUCCUGAAAAAUGUCAGUAUUCUUUUUUUUUCUCUAAGUCAGUUCCAGGGGUUUCGCCAUAAUUUCUCUUUGUGAAUGCUAGAACUGAAGGUUGGGGUUUUUUUUCUUGUUUUGUUUUUUUUUUUUCAACGACUUCCCCAAUGUUGUUCACAGAAGACACAACAACUUUCUGCUGCUAUAUGUGAGCCUCCAUUUUAUGUACUCAAGGAUCACAUUCACCCUUUGGGACUUCGUGCUGUUGGGAUUAUAUGUGCUAUGCUUCUCUGUUUCAUGCUCAUUUUUUAUUCAGCGAUAACUGUAAUGGUGAUACAGAAUUAUCUAUAUUGCUGCCAUACCUAAGUUUAUGACAUCAUAGAUGCGUAUCAACUUUUAAAGAUGAACAUAUCAUCCUUUUUUUUUGGUUAAAAUCUGAAAAUAAAUCUCAAAUCUCCCAGCAUGAGGAACUCAGUUUUAGACUUGUGUAAUGAAAAUGCCCUUGUAAUUGAAAGAAAAAAGACAAAGGAAAUUUGGAAGACUAUUAGUCUACAUGUGGUAUACUUUUUUUUUUUCCUAAAUUGAAAAUAAAAAAAAUCCAAUGACACAUUUG